RNAcentral lists this long non-coding RNA (4435 nucleotides) under Paramuricea clavata. Lineage: Eukaryota; Metazoa; Cnidaria; Anthozoa; Malacalcyonacea; Plexauridae. The record is from RNAcentral.
AUAAUGUCUAAACUUGACAAAAGAAGAAAAGGUGUUUUUGGACCUUCACUCGGAAAAAAGUAAGAAGAAUUUUGUUUCAGUCUAUAUUUUUUGGAAGCUGUAUUAGGUGAUUAAAGUCUUUAAUUUGGAAUACAAAGCAUAUAAUACAGCUUAAAAUAUUAAACAACUGCGGUUUGCAGACGACGCUGUCUCUGACUGUGGUGUAGUUCUGAAACCUAAGCCUUACCAAUAACAGUUGUGUAUUCUUAGCUCAGUGUUUAAGACGUUGGAAGACGUAUUUUAUGCAAAUUUAUCUUGCAGCGGACAAUGUAUAGAUAAUUUGGAAGUAAAAUAAGUAUGGUUGGUUGGUUGGUUGGUUGGUUGGUUGGUUGGUUGGUUGGUUGGUUGGUUGGUUGGUUGGUUGGUUGGUUGGUUGGUUGGUUGGUUGGUUGGUUGGUUGGUUGGUUGGUUGGUUGGUUGGUUGGUUGGUUGGUUGGUUGGUUGGUUGGUUGGUUGGUUGGUUGGUUGGUUGGUUGGUUACCAUGUAUGCAUGCAUGCAUGUACAGCAGCCAAUAGAAUCUUCUUGUCAGUUGACUUCAUAAUAUGACAAAUUUCAUGUAGUUCACAUUUUGUUAAACAUUUUUUAGAUUUAUAAUUUUUGUCGAUGACUUAAACAUGCCUGCAUUGGAAAUCUAUGGUGCACAGCCUCCAAUCGAACUACUGAGACAGUAUCUGGACCAUGGAAAUUGGUAUGUAAUCCUUUGACGCUUUCAAAAAAUAUUAGGAAGGAACUGUGCAAAUUCAUUUUGAGUUAUUUAUUAGUCUGUUGAAAUACGUACAGUAGGGUUUUCCUAUAUAAACAUUUUUGAACAUUCAUUAUCAAUAGCAAUGAAAUCUAUGCCAUUUUGUAGUUUAAUAAUAUCUAGAGAGAACUACAAAAUGUCGAUUUCCUUCUUCUCUGUGGGAAGACUUCGUCCGACGUGAAAUAUCUGCUCAUAAUAUUUGGUUUCACUAUUCGUUUCGCUCGAAUUCCUGAAAAUGUUACUCCAAGUGUACAGUAUAUAUAGUGCUCACUAUGGUUUCUUUCAGGAUUGUGCUCAACAACACUAGAACAAUAUAUUUAUUUAUUUAUUUAUUUUUAUUAACCUUACAAUCAUAUUAUAUAAAAAAUACACAUGAUUGAAGGAUUGCAUGGACAACACAACUAGAAUCUCACACUAUAAGUCCAUCCAUCUAACACAAAAACACGACAUAUUACGGAUUAGAAACUGGACAACGUAAUACUGAUUUUACAGGCAUUAAUAAAUACUACACUACUGUGAAAUUAUUUGCGAUGUUCGGAUUUGACCACCACCAGCACCACUAGUUGGAAACCAUGCAUGCAAACCAGGUCAGCGCGAUGUAUUGAUGGUGGUAAAAGCGAAAAGUGACUCCAGCCUUACAACACUCACUUUAUACAAUAUAAAUAUGCAAGAAUAAAUACUACACUAUCAAAAUUAUUUGCGAGGUUCAGAUUUCCCCCCCCCCACCACCACCACCACCACUUGUUGGAACCACUAAUCACUUACAUGCAAACCAGGUCAGCGCGAGGUUGUGAUGGGAUUAGUGGAAGUCAAACGCGAAAACCUCGCUAUUUAACACCAGACCAGCUACGAGCAGCAGGUGAUGUUGCUCGAGCGACAUUUCAUGCAAAUAGUUUCCCAUGUCCUUGGACGCUCAACAUCAAAGUCCGGGUUUAGUUUAUUAAGAUAAUAGGUAUAUAAACUUUGGAUUUGAAUGCAGCGUAAGAGUUCGAUGACUUGAUAUGACUAGGAAUAUAUUUUAUAUCUUGUUUAUAGGUAUGACAAGAAGGAUACAUCGAAAAUCAGUUUAGUUGAUCUUCAGUUCAUAUGUGCCUUGGGCCCACCUGGUGGAGGACGUAACCCUGUCACUCCAAGAUUUGUCCGUCAUUUUAAUAUCAUAUCUGUUGCAAAAUUCAACGAUGACACAAUGACAAGAAUAUUCUCCAGCAUUGUCAGCUUCUAUUUUAAGGUUUGCCAUAUAAUAAUUAUUAUAUAUAAUAAUUAACAUAUAAGAAUUCAACUCAACUGGACAGUGUACCAUGCUACUGUGUUUAUAUGUUGUUUGUUGUUUCGCCAAACUUUCUUCCGCCAAACCUCGUGACGCCUUUCUACCCCCAGAGAGGCAGGGGGCGAAUGGCAAUUAUAUACACCUCUGCUAUAAAGCAAUUUGGUGUACAGCGAUUGAUCAUCUUCCUUUCUAUGUUCAUUUUAACAGAACAAUGAAUUUCCCAAUGACGUGUAUGCCUUAGGAUCACAGAUUGUUUCUGGAACCAUGGAAGUAAGCGAAAGUGUAUUUUAACAUAUUACUGAUUUACUGUGCAGUGCAAUAUUGCGCAUUGUUAUUUAUUGAUAAGAUUUCGUUGCAUCCAUGUAGUUGGCUAUCAGCCAACGGUGAUAGAAUCGUCAUUCGAAAUUUGUUUCAAAUUUUUCAAAAAUAAUAGAGCUUUCUUUGAAGUUAACAAACUUAAUAAUUCAACACUCCUUAUAUAUUGUUUACGUGGUCGUCGCGCGUGGUUUACGCGAAUCAUGUCACCCUGGUGAUAUGACUGAAAUCACCCGCUACGUCAAAUACGAUGACGUAACGUGUGAUUCGAUGAUAAAUUUUAUGCUCAGGUGGCACAAACCUUUUUUGAUUGGACGCAUUGAAUUUGAGGUACAAUAUUGAUUAUUAUCACACGUUAUGACGUCAUGCUAUUAAUACAACGUGGAAACACGAACAAUAUAUGGUGUUGCCCUCAUUAGUUCGCGGAGAUAAUGGAGGUAACAGUUUGAAAAACAAAAACUAUAAAUAGAAACCAAAACAGCCACGAAAGGUUUUGAAAUAUUUUGUGACGUAUAUUUGAAUGAAAAUCUUGCCCAAAUUGCGGAAGAAUUAUGCUGAAGAUUAUGUACAUGUAUCAUAACUUAAUAAAAUAUAAAACAUAUAAAUAAAAAUAAAACAAUUAUAUUGAAUACGGUUUUCAUAUGAUUUGAAAAACUGUUUGUGUUAUCCGCCUGAGUUUUCAUUAUGCGCAACCUCAUUAAUAAGUAAACACGUUUAACGUAUCUUUUAUUUGUAGAUCUAUAAAUCAGCCAUGACAAACUUGUUACCAACGCCAACAAAGUCUCAUUAUACAUUCAACUUGCGAGAUUUCGCUCGUGUCAUUCUCGGAGUAUUGCUAAUCAAGAAACAGGCACUGGAUGAUAAAAAGACUGUUGUGAGGUACUCUACGUAACACUUUACACUCACACACGAAAUAGGAAAUAUAUUACUAGUAGUUGAAUUCGAGAGGUUUUAUAAACUUAGUGUUUACUUGAAAAUCCUUCAGACAAUGAUAACAGUAAAACUGUACGUUAUCGUACGUUUUCCAAGAUUUUGUCGACAUACAAUCCUGCGUCCGUACGAUUUAAACGAAAAUUAGCGUAAAAUCCAACUAAAGCCCGUUUACACUACGCUCGAUUUUUGGUACCGUACCACUUUAUUGGUUCCAAGAACCAAAAAAGUGGUUCGGGUACCAAUUUUAUCCGUGCCGCACGAAAAAUUGAGCGUAAAAUGGGGCUUAAGACACUUAACUUUGUGCUUGUGAAAUGAUCCGUACGGCGGUAGAAAACAUGUCUUUAAGAUUCCUAACAUGAUCGUCUAUUUGAUGAUAGAUUAUGGGUUCAUGAAGUAUAUCGUGUAUUUUAUGACCGUUUGGUUGAUGACAAGGAUCGUGCCUGGUUACACAGCUCGUUGAAGAAAGUCACGAAAGAACAUUUCAAGGAGGAUUUUGACGCAAUGUUUAAACAUCUUGGAAACAGCAAGAAUGUAAGUGAUCUGAUAUGCUUUAGUUCUUGUUCGCCACAUUCCACUGCAAACGUUUGACUCAUGCAGAAACUUGAGUAAGAUAAUGCACCCCUGGUGCAGUGACUUAAAAUAUUGAAUAAAAUUACUCAACAAUUAUUUUACUCAGGUUCUUCAGUCAAAUACUCGGGGAUUUUAUCUAAGGAUAAUAAAUUUUGUACAAAACUAAAUUCUUUUUAAAAUUGUUGUCAGCAUGUGCUAUAAUAUUUUUAUCCAAACUUCGUUUUCCGCCCGGAAUAUCGAUUGCUACAGUUCUCAAGAACUAAUUACUUUUUACGAACAGAUAACAGAAGAUGAUGUGAGAAGUUUGAUGUUUUGUGAUUUCCUUAAUUCAGAUUUGGUAAUUAUAUUGAUUAUAAUGAUUAUAAAUUACACAAUUACCUGUACUUCUGCAAUAGAAUUGAACAGCGAAAGUGAAUGAUUAACGCAUGUCUUUAUGUUUCUUUUUUUAGUUGGUUGAAGAUCGCUUAUAUCAAGAAGUCAACUCGAUGGAUGAGCUAUACAAAGUUGUUGAACAGUAUUUGGACGAAUACAAUCAGUUGCAUAAAGCGCAGAUGAACCUUGUUAUUUU